UGUGUAGGCGGUUUAGUUAGUCUGUCGUGAAAGCCUUGGGCUUAACCCAAGAUACGCGGGAGAAACGGCUAAACUUCGAGGACGCGAGAGGUAGAGGGAACUCAUGGUGUAGGGGUGAAAUCCGUUGAUAUCAUGGGGAACACCAAAUGCGAAGGCACUCUACUGGCGCGCUCCUGACGCUGAAACACGAAAGCGUGGGAAUCGAACG
RNAcentral lists this ribosomal RNA (208 nucleotides) under uncultured bacterium. RNAcentral describes it as "partial 16S ribosomal RNA". It matches the Rfam family "Bacterial small subunit ribosomal RNA", at positions 568 to 774 of the family's 1533-position model. The record is from RNAcentral.